RNAcentral lists this ribosomal RNA (253 nucleotides) under uncultured bacterium. RNAcentral describes it as "partial 16S ribosomal RNA". It matches the Rfam family "Bacterial small subunit ribosomal RNA", at positions 524 to 776 of the family's 1533-position model. The record is from RNAcentral.
UACGGAGGGGGCUAGCGUUGUUCGGAAUUACUGGGCGUAAAGCGCGCGUAGGCGGCUUUGUAAGUUAGAGGUGAAAGCCCGAAGCUCAACUUCGGAAUUGCCUUUAAGACUGCAUCGCUAGAAUCAUGGAGAGGUGAGUGGAAUUCCGAGUGUAGAGGUGAAAUUCGUAGAUAUUCGGAGGAACACCAGUGGCGAAGGCGACUCACUGGACAUGUAUUGACGCUGAGGUGCGAAAGCGUGGGGAGCAAACAGG